Molecule: non-coding RNA, 182 nt
Filed under: human gut metagenome
Description: 6S / SsrS RNA
Rfam family: 6S / SsrS RNA
About the family: E. coli 6S RNA was the first non coding RNA to be sequenced, but its function was unknown until recently.
Source: RNAcentral
AUCCCUGCGGUGUGCGUAAAAUCCGGCAUAAAAUUUAACCAACAGAUUUAAAAAGGGAGUCCGUCUCCGGGCGUGGCGUAUAGGCCCCCCAUUUUUAUGGCCAGGGGAAAUAUAAAGCGGCCGGGAGGACACCCACCUGCGAGAGCAGGUUAAAUUUUUCCGGUAAAACGGCAUGGCGGGGG